This 78-nucleotide transfer RNA is filed under the name Thermoplasmata archaeon. RNAcentral's name for it is "tRNA-Tyr". It matches the Rfam family "tRNA". Rfam says of the family: Transfer RNA (tRNA) molecules are approximately 80 nucleotides in length. Lineage: Archaea; Methanobacteriati; Thermoplasmatota; Thermoplasmata. The record is from RNAcentral.
CCCGACUUAGCUUAGACUGGCUAGAGCGACGGACUGUAGAUCCGUAGAUCCCCGGUUCAAAUCCGGGAGUCGGGACCA